RNAcentral lists this long non-coding RNA (1558 nucleotides) under Pelobates cultripes (western spadefoot toad). The record is from RNAcentral. Lineage: Eukaryota; Metazoa; Chordata; Amphibia; Anura; Pelobatidae.
GGAAUAUUUAAGAAACAGAAAAGUAGGCGAAGUUCUAAAAUUGGAGAAAUCUCCAUAGAAACCAAUGGAAAUUCUUCUGAUGAUUCUGUUGGUUUCCACGGAGAUGGCUUCUCUUUUAGAACCUUGGCCCACUUUUCAGCUAGUGGCAUUUUUAGAAAUUUUCCCACUGGACCUAACUAAACCCCAAAGUUGCCUUGAGUACAGCCUUUAAGUGAUAAUCUCAAUAUAAAAUCACAAAAUUACCAUCGUAAAUGCCCACUCAGGAGACCAAGGAUACAAUUCAGAAAGACUCCACAAUUUGGCUAUAACCUUGGGCAGGUAUGAUCCCAUAAAACCCAACGCUAACUCUAUUUUUAGAGUUGAGUGCAACAGAACAAAGCAGGUCCAAAGAAGGAUCCGAUGCAGCAAGGAUUACAUAUGGUGUCAUGGUGACUUCAGCUACAGAGGUCGUCAGCAUUGAAUUUCUUAGAAACACAAUAUUGAUGAAAUAUGACAUCUCCAAUUUGUAGUUCAAAUAGAUCGGCCCAAGUUGAGCCAAAAAAAAAACACCUGAUUGUAGCUAUACAUUCAAACUCAGAGCCUAGCAAACAGGGCUGAAUGCAAUAUCUACCAAAAAUACCUAUGUUAGCAGGCUAUCAGUGCGGUCGCCAGAACUUCACACCAAUAAAUACAGUGCUUUUUUUCUAAACAGUCUUUAUUUUAAAAUAUCAUGGUAAUAAAAAUAGUGAUUUGAAUUUUUUAAAUUCCUACAGUCGAGGCUCACAAUAUAUUCUAUGUAUUAUGUAAUUACUUCUCUCUAUAAUUAUAGCUACUUUAGCACAUUAUGUACACCUAUUAAACACUGCACACACACAAUCUAGGGUAAUAGCCAGGAUAAUUAAACAAAUAAAUCAACUGAAAAUAUUAGAUAUAAUUUAACAUGUACUGCAAUCCAGCUACAAAGGGAUACAAUUUCCUCCUGCACAUGGGAUAUCUAGACUCAGAAAUAGGCAACAUUUGCCAAUCUAGCUGCUGUGGACUACGUCCCCCAUGAUGCACCAUGACACUAAACUUUCCCUAUUCCCCAUCUAGAGGAACUGAUGUUUGAAAAGCAAGUAAAAAUGAAUAAUUCAGACUCUUUGUGUGCAUUAAAUAAUAAAUACUACAUAGGCAAAGGUCAUUAUGACAGGAAGGGAGAGAUCACGUGUCUAUCAUAACUCCUAUACCGUACAAUUUAGGGGACUCAGCUUGUACUAUGGUGAGAUAUAACUGGGGACAUUAGGUGAUAAUUAUGUUCAAUAAGAUCAAAACAAUAUUUUUGGAAGCCCAGUUCUGAGUUACACAAAGAGUCAUAACACUCCGAUUUCCAUAGAAGAGAUUAUGUAAAAAACUGAACGGAACCAGAACACGGUCAAAAAGCCCAAAGUUUGUGACGUUGCUCCCUGUAGCAGUAUGGCAACUGACAAUGUUUUAACGAUGUUACGAUUGACCGCAACACUAUAAUAAAUAACAUACAGAAACAUACCCACAUGAUAUAUAAUAGCUUAUUCUUCCAUAAAACAAUGAUAGACUAUUCAAC